CUGCUUCUGGGUGAUAGGCCUGAGACCCUGGGCUGCUUCAUGGAUACCUCUUAUAUGAAGCAACAGCUAUAAAUUACUGGGGGAAAGACAGUAAGCCUUUGCAUUUACAGGACCUCUGUGGAAAGGGAAGAACCAAAAAACCCGUCUGAUUCUGGAUGAGUCCUUCUCUUCACCAGGAGACAGACAAAUGCACACUGAUUCUCGAAGAAUAGAGGCAAAAAUUCUCUUGAGUCUAAGAUGUUGAACCAAUACAAAUAUAGUACAGAGCAGCAGUCUGCUACCAUUGGAAGAAGGACAGAAAAAUCCCUCUGCCCAAGAACCACCAUAAUUUCAUGGCAGAGUCCAACAGUCAUAGGUGGGAGGAAGAGAAAGCCUUAUCCAUCUGUAUUCAAUCCUAUUCAAGAAGAGGCACAUAGACCUUGCCUAAGACAAAGGAGACUAAGAUCCACCCUGGACCCAAAAUGAGCGUACAUUGAAUAACAAGCAACAGCAGUGUGGCACUGGGGAAGAUACAGGAGUAUACAGAGACCCCCUCUAUAAUAUAGGUGUACAAUGGUUGCUGUGGAGUAGUGACACUGAGGAUAAUCUUCCAUCACUGCACUGUAAUAACCCCCCACUCAGUGAAAGGUAAAGGCACCUCCAUACUGAAAGGAUUAAAAGUCUGUGGUACAUAAGGUAACAAUAAU
Molecule: long non-coding RNA, 686 nt
Filed under: Marmota monax (woodchuck)
Lineage: Eukaryota; Metazoa; Chordata; Mammalia; Rodentia; Sciuridae
Source: RNAcentral